This 490-nucleotide ribosomal RNA is filed under the name uncultured bacterium. RNAcentral describes it as "partial 16S ribosomal RNA". It matches the Rfam family "Bacterial small subunit ribosomal RNA", at positions 29 to 507 of the family's 1533-position model. The record is from RNAcentral.
AGUGAACGCUGGCGGUAGGCCUAACACAUGCAAGUCGAACGGCAGCACAGGAGAGCUUGCUCUCUGGGUGGCGAGUGGCGGACGGGUGAGGAAUACAUCGGAAUCUGCCCAGUCGUGGGGGAUAACGUAGGGAAACUUACGCUAAUACCGCAUACGACCUUCGGGUGAAAGAGGGGGAUCGCAAGACCUCUCGCGAUUGGAUGAGCCGAUGUCGGAUUAGCUAGUUGGCGGGGUAAUGGCCCACCAAGGCGACGAUCCGUAGCUGGUCUGAGAGGAUGAUCAGCCACCCUGGAACUGAGACACGGUCCAGACUCCUACGGGAGGCAGCAGUGGGGAAUAUUGGACAAUGGGCGCAAGCCUGAUCCAGCCAUACCGCGUGGGUGAAGAAGGCCUUCGGGUUGUAAAGCCCUUUUGUUGGGAAAGAAAUCUUUCAGGCUAAUACCCUGGGAGGAUGACGGUACCCAAAGAAUAAGCACCGGCUAACUUCGUG